GAACCGACUACAUCAGCUCCAACCUCAACUUCAGCUGCCACAAUGACAACUGCUCCAUAUAACGGUACAUGUGUAACGGAUAUCGACUGUGCUGUUCCUCCUGGACGGACUUGCUCUGGUGGUGUCUGCAUAUGUUCCAUCGGAUACGACAUGGAUGAGACUAGCGUUGAGUGCAGAAGACUAACAGAAUGCACAUCAUUCGGAUCCGAGUUCACU
Haliotis rubra (blacklip abalone) is the source of this 216-nucleotide long non-coding RNA. RefSeq lists it as uncharacterized. Lineage: Eukaryota; Metazoa; Mollusca; Gastropoda; Lepetellida; Haliotidae. The record is from RefSeq and is a predicted model, not a curated record. The transcript has 3 exons.